UGGGGGAUAUUGCACAAUGGGCGAAAGCCUGAUGCAGCGACGCCGCGUGGGGGAUGAAGGCUUUCGGGUUGUAAACCUCUUUCGCUAUCGAACAAGGCCCGCUUAGGGUGGGUUGAGGGUAGGUGGAGAAGAAGCGCCGGCUAACUACGUGCCAGCAGCCGCGGUAAUACGUAGGGCGCGAGCGUUGUCCGGAAUUAUUGGGCGUAAAGGGCUUGUAGGCGGCUUGUUGCGCCUGCUGUGAAAACGCGGGGCUUAACUUCGCGCGUGCAGUGGGUACGGGCAGGCUUGAGUGUGGUAGGGGUGACUGGAAUUCCAGGUGUAGCGGCGGAAUGCGCAGAUAUCUGGAGGAACACCGAUGGCGAAGGCAGGUCACUGGGCCAUUACUGACGCUGAGGAGCGAAAGCAUGGGUAGCGAACAGG
RNAcentral lists this ribosomal RNA (420 nucleotides) under bacterium. RNAcentral's name for it is "partial 16S ribosomal RNA". It matches the Rfam family "Bacterial small subunit ribosomal RNA", at positions 355 to 776 of the family's 1533-position model. The record is from RNAcentral.